AGGCAUGGGCCUUCCAUGCAGGCCAGAGGCAUGGGCCUUCCAUGCAGGCCAGAGGCAUGGGCCUUCCAUGCAGGCCAGAGGCAUGGGCCACCCACAAAGCCAUGAUGAUCACCCUUCAGAGGGACAGCCUUCAAACCAGAUCAGCUACCAAAGCUCCAGCAAUGUGCAGGAUCAGAUAGGAGUCACAAUGUGACAGGACAUUGCCCCUGCACUGUGAGCUGUGUGGGAUGCAAAGCAAGUUGAGAAUAUUUCAGGUUGGAUAUAGGAAAAACUUUCCCAGAAGAGUGGUCAGGAACUGAAACAGGCUGCCUAGGAAGGUGAUGGAGUCGCCGUCCCUGGAGGUGUUCAGGAAAUUCGUGGAUUUGGCACUGAGAUACAUGCUUUGCAGCACUGAGGGGAGCUGCACGACCGUUCAGGGAAGCUGAAGAAAUAGCCUAUGAAAUUCAGCUGAGACUGCAGGUCCUGCUCUGACCCUGAUGCUCUGAGGAUGUAACUAUGGAAAAAUUGCUUGGAAUGGAAUAUGUUUCACAAAUAAAGCAGUGGAGGCUUGUGGUGUUUUGUGUACGUAAUUUGAACUGUGGCAUCAGCCACCAGA
Molecule: long non-coding RNA, 595 nt
Organism: Numida meleagris (helmeted guineafowl)
Lineage: Eukaryota; Metazoa; Chordata; Aves; Galliformes; Numididae
Exons: 3
Source: RefSeq, a predicted model, not a curated record